CGCUGGCGGUAGGCCUAACACAUGCAAGUCGAACGGCAGCACAGGAGAGGUUGUUCUCUGGAUGGCGAAUGGCGGACGGGUGAUGAAUACAUCGGAAUCUACCUUUUCGUUGGGGAUAACGUAGGGAAACUUACGCUAAUUCCGCAUUCGACCUUCGGGUGACAGCAGGGGACCUCCGACCCUCGCGCGGAUAGAUGAGCCUAUGUCGGAUUAGGUAGUCUGGCGGGGUAAAGGACCCACCACGGCGACGAUCCGUUGUUGGUCUGAGAGGAUCAUCAGCCACACUGGAGCUGAGACACGGUCCAGACUCCUACGGGAGGCAGCAGUGGGGAAUAUUGGACAAUGGACGCAAGCCUGAUCCAGCCAUACCCCGUGGGUGAAGAAGACCUUCCGGUUGUAAACCCCUUUUGUUGGGUUAAGAAAAGCAGUCGGCUAAUACCCGCUUCUUCUGACGGUACCCUAAGAACCAGCACCGGCUAACUCUCGUGCCAACAGCCGCGGUAAUACGUAGGGUGCAAUCCUUACUCGGAAUUACUGGGCGUAAAGCGUGCGUAGGUGGUUGUGUAAGUCUGUUGUGAAAGCCCCGGGCUCAACCUGGGAAUUGUCAGUGGAAACUGGAAGACUAGAGUCUGGUAGAGGAUAGUAGAAUUCCCGGUGUAGCAGUGAAAUGUGUAGAUAUCGGGAGGAACAUCCAUGGCGAAGGCAGCUACCUGGGACCAACACUGACACUGAUGCACGAAAGCGUGGAGAGCACACAGGAUUAGAUACCCUGGUAGUCCACGCCCUAACACGAUGUGGGACUGGAUGUAGGGUGUAAUUUGGGACGCAGUGUCGAUGUUAACGUGUUAAGUACGCCGCCUGGGGAGUACGGGCGCAAAAUUGAAUCUCAACGGAAUUGUGGGGGGCCCGAACAAGCGGUGGGGUAUGUGGUUUAAUUCGUAUGUAAGGCGAAGGUCCUUACCUGUUCUUGAUAUGUCGCGCAAUUCCCUAGAGAUGGGUUGGUGCAUUCGGGAACUCGGACAAAGGUGUUGCAUGGCUGUCGUGAGAUCGUUUCGUGAAAUGUUGGGAUUAAGUCCCGCAACGAGACGUCAACCCACGUCCUUAGUUGCCAGCACGUAAUGGGGGUUAACUCUCUGGGGACCGCCGGCGACAAACCGGAGGAAGGUGGGGUUCAUGUCACCCGAUGCAUCAUGGCCCCUACGGCCAGGGCUAGAAACGUUCAACCAUGGUAGGAACAGAGGGCUUCCCACCCGCGAGGGCAAACCAAUACCAGAAACUCUAUCUCAAUCCGGAUUGGAAUCUUCCAUUCCACCCCAUGGAAUCCGAAUCCCUAAUAAUCGCAGAUUACCAUUCCUGCGUGUGAAUACGUUCCCGGGCCUUGUACACACCGCCCGUCACACCAUGGGAGUUUGUUCCACCAGAAGCAGGUACCUUAACCUUCGGGAGGGCUCUUGUCAUGGUGUGGACGAUGAUUGGGGUGAAGUCGUAACAAGGUAUCC
This 1499-nucleotide ribosomal RNA is filed under the name bacterium 97NT4. RNAcentral describes it as "16S ribosomal RNA". It matches the Rfam family "Bacterial small subunit ribosomal RNA". Lineage: Bacteria; Pseudomonadati; Pseudomonadota; Gammaproteobacteria. The record is from RNAcentral.